This is a long non-coding RNA of Galleria mellonella (greater wax moth), 352 nucleotides long. RefSeq lists it as uncharacterized. The record is from RefSeq and is a predicted model, not a curated record. NCBI's taxonomy places the organism in Eukaryota, Metazoa, Arthropoda, Insecta, Lepidoptera, Pyralidae. The transcript has 2 exons.
AGAGUAUUAUAUUCCUUGUACUUAACAUUCCAGAGGCGCACUUUUUGUAUUUGUUUAUUCUCUUUUAAAAAUAAUUAAUAAAAUUAACGUAACUUUACCAACUUUUUAUAAGUUUGGAUGUAUCUAUCAAAUACGUCCACGCCGUCAUUUGACUGACAGUAUCCCGAUGACACUUAUCUCCUUCACAAUAGCAGCCUCAACUAGAAAGAGAGUAGUCUCACAAAGAUUUGUUGCCACUGAAGAGCACCGAGUAGAGACAGAACAAAUUUUGAUAGAGAAUCAGACAACACUAGUUCAUAUCUUAUAGCUAAUGAAUGAGAUAUGACUAAAUUAAAGUCAGCCAUUGUACGAU